Podarcis lilfordi (Lilford's wall lizard) is the source of this 85-nucleotide non-coding RNA. The record is from the annotation of a GenBank genome assembly. NCBI's taxonomy places the organism in Eukaryota, Metazoa, Chordata, Lepidosauria, Squamata, Lacertidae.
GGCAUAAAUUAUGCAAAACGCAAAAUAUUCAGGAUAGAUUCUGAUCCAUCCUGAAUAUUUGCUGUUUUUGCAUAAUUUAUGCCCU